AGCAGGAUCAGAGGACAGAGGACGGAGGACGGAGCAGAGACAUGAUCAGAGAGAGACAUGUGAGCGGGACAUGCUGGAGGAGCAGGGCAACAGAACACUACAGAAUCAUACCUGAUUUGACCUGAUUUGAAUGAAGGCUGGUGACUACAACAGAACCAGGACCCCCACUGAAGUCUGGACUGAUGUGAAUCACAGGGCUGACCACAUGAUUUCCCCCUUUGGAUAACAUCACAGGAGGGCAUGGUGGAGGGGGGGUCGUUUUCCGGGUGCUUUUCUAGUCUUUCUAGUUUUUCCAAAACAAGAUCUUUGCCAUUAGAGAAACCAACUGUUUCCAGACUGCUGCCUCUCUUGGUCUGGUCACUCCCAAUCCUUGUACCAGUGUCUGAUUGCUCAGUGACGCUGGACAGGUUUGGGGGGGGCUGUGCUAAGGACUGCUGUACUCCAUUAUCUCCUGCUGACUUGUUUUCAUUCUCCUUUCAUUGGUUUUUGGACUUUUGUGAUUACUUAUGUGCAUCUCAAUUAAAACGUAGAAACCUUUGAACUUCCUGUACUUUCUUUUUGCUCUACCACUCACAUGUGUUUUGUCUGUAUGUGCAUUUCGUGACUAGUGCAAGUGCAAUGCUAAUAUGAGGACUGUUAUCACAAACAGAUUUAAUGUAAAUAGUUUGGAAUAUAUUUAAAUGUAAACCAAUUAAGCCUCUAAGACGUUCAUUUUAAAAUGCGAUGAUUUCCCUGGGUCACACUGUCAGAACUGUUAAAGCUCAGUUUUCAAGGUUUAUGUUAUGUACUGUCCAAAACAUUUUAAUGUAUGAAAACAGAUACUUUAAGUACAUCUUAAAUUACAUUUACUAAUAAAAACAAGCAAGCCCAUUUUCAGGA
Long non-coding RNA from Trematomus bernacchii (emerald rockcod), 879 nucleotides. RefSeq lists it as uncharacterized. NCBI's taxonomy places the organism in Eukaryota, Metazoa, Chordata, Actinopteri, Perciformes, Nototheniidae. The transcript is spliced from 2 exons. The record is from RefSeq and is a predicted model, not a curated record.